GUUGAUGCCAUAACCAAGUACUGUGGAGACAUCAAAAGAAUGAAGACAAAGAAAACAUACAGAAUUGGAAGCCCUGCCUCCCCAAGGCACAGACAGAGUCUCCUCCAUCUUACUUGAGCUCCACCAAACUCAGGAAGCAUGCAAAUACUUUCAUCCUGCCAGCUUCACUCUGGAACUUUGCUUUCUUGGCUACUACGGAAAAAACAACGUUCAUAAUUUUACACAGAAAUCAGUGACAUGCGUAGAAAGAAAAUAGAACAGAAGGUAGAAACCUGCGUUCUGGAAUUAGACUGCUGGCGUUUAGAGCUCAUCUCUGCCACUAACCACUUAUAUGAUGUUAGGCAAAUUAGUUUAUCUCUCUGUGCUACUAUUUUCUCAAAAGUAAAAUGUGAGUUGCAAUGUAGUUUGUUUAACUCGAAAAUUUUGAGAUUUGAAUAUAACAUUCAAACGCUAAGAUGUGUACCUGACACAGAAUAAAUGCUCAAUAACAAUAAUCUCUUUUUUAAAAAUGCACAAAAUGUAGAAAGCAAUACAUUGAAUUCCAUUCUUUAAAACGAGCACAUAUCUAAAUGCUGAGUAAUUUCUUACGGAGACCUUACAGAUACAGUUCUUUUUCUAUUGUUUCCCCGGAGUUAUUCAGAAAAGCAUUUUCUUUAAGCAAGUUCUAAUGGCUGUCACUAUGAUUUAAAGCUUUCUACAGAAUCUUUCACAUAGGGUAUGCCUGCCUAAAUUACUUUGGACCUAAUUUUAGAUAAACUU
This 759-nucleotide long non-coding RNA is filed under the name Pan troglodytes (chimpanzee). Its description in RNAcentral is "lincRNA". Lineage: Eukaryota; Metazoa; Chordata; Mammalia; Primates; Hominidae. The record is from RNAcentral.